This 245-nucleotide ribosomal RNA is filed under the name uncultured Prevotella sp. RNAcentral describes it as "partial 16S ribosomal RNA". It matches the Rfam family "Bacterial small subunit ribosomal RNA", at positions 524 to 768 of the family's 1533-position model. The record is from RNAcentral. Lineage: Bacteria; Pseudomonadati; Bacteroidota; Bacteroidia; Bacteroidales; Prevotellaceae.
UACGGAAGGUCCAGGCGUUAUCCGGAUUUAUUGGGUUUAAAGGGAGCGUAGGCUGGAGAUUAAGUGUGUUGUGAAAUGUAGACGCUCAACGUCUGAAUUGCAGCGCAUACUGGUUUCCUUGAGUACGCACAACGUUGGCGGAAUUCGUCGUGUAGCGGUGAAAUGCUUAGAUAUGACGAAGAACUCCGAUUGCGAAGGCAGCUGACGGGAGCGCAACUGACGCUUAAGCUCGAAGGUGCGGGUAU